RNAcentral lists this unclassified non-coding RNA (78 nucleotides) under Epilithonimonas mollis. RNAcentral describes it as "Chryseobacterium molle Flavo-1 RNA". The record is from RNAcentral. Lineage: Bacteria; Pseudomonadati; Bacteroidota; Flavobacteriia; Flavobacteriales; Weeksellaceae.
UCUGCGCCCCGGCCUGAACGGAGCUCUUUUUAUUUUUCUAGGGAAAUAAAAAAGCGGGAGUGGAGGACGGAUAAAGGC